Molecule: long non-coding RNA, 547 nt
Filed under: Nicotiana benthamiana
Lineage: Eukaryota; Viridiplantae; Streptophyta; Magnoliopsida; Solanales; Solanaceae
Description: long non-coding RNA (NBEN_LNC004088)
Source: RNAcentral
AAAAGUCUCCGAUAGAUUGAAAUCAUCAUCGACGAAGCGGUCUCAGAGAUCACCCCCAAAAACCUCAAAACAGACUUCAUCCAGGACCACGAAACACACAGAAACAUGAUCGGAUCGUCGUCGAGGCUCUAAUACCAUGUUAACAUCGAGAUUAAAUCGAUGAAUCAUGAAAAUCAUAGAGAGAGAAAGUAGAAAAGUUUGGAAUCAGAAAUAUCGUCGAGGCUCUGAUACCAUGUUAACAUCAAGAUUAAACCGAUGAAUUAUGGGAAUUAUAGAGAGAGAAAGUAGAGAGAAGGAGGAGUAGGUGAGAAGUCUCUCGAAGGUCAGAGAGAGAGUUUAUUAAACAGAGGAACAAAAUUACACAAAUGAAAUCCGCGGGUCACAAAUAUCUGUGACCCCAGUAUAUAUAGUUAGUACAACGGGUCAGGUCAAUGACCCAAAGACCAUGGGGCUCGGAUCUCUGAGACGGGCUCAGAUAUGACUCUCAAGGAUUGGGCUCAGAGAGGCCCAAUCCAGACAUUUCAUCACUGCCCAAUUAAUUGUAUAC